UACAGAGUGUGCGAGCGUUGUCCGGAAUCACUGGGCGUAAAGGGCGCGUAGGCGGCUCGGUAAGCGUGCGGUGAAAUCCCGGGGCUCAACCCCGGGUCGGCCGUGCGAACUGCGGAGCUGGAGCACUGUAGAGGCAGGUGGAAUUCCGGGUGUAGCGGUGGAAUGCGUAGAGAUCCGGAAGAACACCGGUGGCGAAGGCAGCCCCCUGGGCUAACACUGACGCUCAGGCACGAAAGCGUGGGGAGCAAACGGG
This 253-nucleotide ribosomal RNA is filed under the name uncultured bacterium. RNAcentral describes it as "partial 16S ribosomal RNA". It matches the Rfam family "Bacterial small subunit ribosomal RNA", at positions 524 to 776 of the family's 1533-position model. The record is from RNAcentral.